GGCAACCCACUCCAGUCCCCUUCUGCACUGUGGAAGCUUUGUUCUUUUGCUCUUUGCAAUAAAUCUUGCUACUGCUCACUCUUUGCGUCCACACUGCCUUUAUGAGCUGUAACACUCACUGCGAAGGUCUGCAGCUUCACUCCUGAAGCCAGCCAGACUACGAACCCACCGGGAGGAACGAACAACUCCAGAUGCGCCACCUUAAGAGCUGUAACACUCACCGCGAAGGUCCCGCAGCUUCACUCCUGAGCCAGCAAGACCACGAACCCACCAGAAGGAAGAAACUCCGAACACAUCUGAACAUCAGAAGGAACAAACUCUGGACACACUGCCUUUAAGAACUGUAAUACUCACCGUGAGGGCCCGCGGCUUCAUUCUUGAAGUCAGUGAGACCAAGAACCCACCAAUUCCAGACACAGUGGGAUCACAGAGAGAGCCAACAGUCCAGGCCAUGACAAGCUGGCACCCAGCUCUGCUUCACAUUUGUCCAACUGGCGUGGCUGUAGCUCCUUCCUGCAAGGCAAUGCUGAAGAAGCUAUGGAAGCAAGAAGGAAGCAUGGAUUCUAAAAACUGACAACAAACCACUUACCCCUAUUGCUCUUCUUCCUAAAGCUAAAGGAUCAAACUGCAUCACGGAAGCUGCACACGAUGACACCCUGUCUGGAAAGUUUUUGCCAGAGGGCAAAAGACUGCAAGCAGAAUAUCCCUUUGCCAUUUCUCAUUCAGGACUGGCCGUUGUCUGAAAGCAAACCUCAAGGACAGGACUUCUGGACUCCGCAGCCACUUCAGGCUGCUGCUCCAUCGCAUGAAUUCCAGCAGGUGGCGCUGCACCCCGCGCGGACCCGGCUUGCCUCUCGGCCCCAGGGAGGUCGGUUGAUGAGCAGUCGGGAAGUGGGUCUGCGCGCACCCCGCUGCAGCUGUGGCAAACGCAAACGAUGACACACAGGCUUGACGAGGGCCUUUGUCAGAAGCAAUGGGGAUCUGGCGUCACCGCACAAUGGAAAACAAAGUGCUUCUGCCUGGCUGGCCAGAAUGCACGUUUGCUCACUAUUGAUGCUGGGGCAUUUACAGGCAGAAUGAGUUCAUGUGAAAUUUCAGGAUCUGCCAUGACUCAGAUUCACUUUCUGUAAACCAGAGUCAACAUUACAUUUCCCUUUACUCUGGGCCAUUCCUUGAAUUUUUAGGUCACCAGUUGUUUUUGUACUAACUGAAGGGAUUUGAGUAUUUCACAAGCACCUUAUUUUUAUUAGCAUUUUUAGGGCAUUACCAAUUUGGGACGGAUCUGUAGUGUGAGAGAUUGUUGUCACUCUUAGCUCCAAACAUAGGUUGACUUUAUAUAUUAUUUACAUGUUCAGAAUUAUACUGUGUAGAAAUUCAAAUGAAACUUGCAAAAUACUUUUCUGGCAGGAAGCCCUGGAGAGGAUCGUUCAUGGAAACAAGGAUGACGACUGGGGUAAGAAAUGCAGGUGACUCGUGAGUGGUCAGGGAGUGGAAGAGAAGACGGCUGGAAGGUUUUAGCAUUCAGAAAAAAAAUGGAGACAACUAGAGUUGAUCUGAAGAUUAUGGCAGAAUUCAAUAUUGGGGGAAAGAAACAAGAUGGGGGUUAGAAAUUAGAAACAGCAGAGCUCCACAGGUUGGAAAGGUUGGAAAGGAUUUGAGCAAGAGAACAAGGAGCCUGCUAAUAGCACCCUGGGUUUACAUCAAGAGAAGCACCUGGAGAGAAUUAACUCGGGAGGAGGUGGGGGCAUGGGAAACCUUUUCAUCUCCAAGAGCGGGCAGGAACAGCAGCUGGCCUGAACUUGAAGGUACACCAGGUAGCUUGCGUGGGCCAGGAGAAGGUGAUUCUCUUCUAUGCCUCUCUCCAACGCCCUGCUUCUGAUGCUGCUCCUCUACCUGUAUUGAGGGGAAGAUACAUCCCUAAGAAGUUCCCUGAACCCCAUUCUUUGUUGUGGCUAACUGGUCCCCUUGGAAUUUUUCUACUAAUUUUCAAUUCCCCCUCUCACCUGGUGAAAUCUUGAAUCUUACUGUUCAAUAAAAGUUCUUCUACCGAAA
Long non-coding RNA from Homo sapiens (human), 2052 nucleotides. Ensembl annotates it as long intergenic non-protein coding RNA 1554. The record is from Ensembl. NCBI's taxonomy places the organism in Eukaryota, Metazoa, Chordata, Mammalia, Primates, Hominidae.